Long non-coding RNA from Gallus gallus (chicken), 1287 nucleotides. The record is from Ensembl. NCBI's taxonomy places the organism in Eukaryota, Metazoa, Chordata, Aves, Galliformes, Phasianidae.
CAACCCAAGCCAUUCUAUGAUUCUCUGAUUCUCUAUGAUACUUGCUUCUAUGAAUGCUGUUUCUGCUGGAAUAAUUUGGUGUAAAAUACUUAGACUUUUCCAAUGACAUGUAAACCUGCAGGGAAUUCAGAUAGAAUGAAGCUGUCAGUACAAGAGCACCAUGUUAGUUCAUCCAUGUGUCUUUUCUCCGGCUCCUGUUCCUUCAAGAGAAUCCAUACUGGCUUUGGAACAGGGAGGUCAUCCUACUCUUCUUCCUGUUGAGCAAAGGGGAACUUUCUGCCCCAGGACCAAACCAAAACACAAUCACCUCUGUGUGUUCACGGUAACAUAGUAGCAUGAAAAUUAUUUUUUCCUUAUGAAUACGUGACACAGUGACACAAGUGACGUGGACUGUGGAAUACCGUUUUCUUGAACACUUUGUGCAAAGGACGGAAAAGAAGAAACUGCAUUAUUUCUGGAUGGUGUAGUGUAUGUUCCUGUAGCUACGUGUACAGCAGAGCACUUAGGGUGGGAAAAAUAGAACAGUCUACACGCUGUAUCACUUUGUAGGUAUGGGAGAACCAGUAAUUGCUCUGUAGCUUUCAAUAGAGCAGCCAACCUAUCUUUAGCGGGGUGCCUGACCAGUGCCUGAGGAGCCUGCUGAAGUUGUUUUGUGCAGGAGGUGGCCUGUCCCAAAGGGGUAAGACAAGGACAAAGUGCAGACAAGGUGCGUAUGCUGAGUGAUUCUUAGUGAGUGAGGCACUGGUAAGACUGGACAAAAUGCAACAUUUUUCUUACCCAGUAACUUGACUGUCAAAACAUACACAUAUUAUUUGUCAUAAAGACUCCAUUCUCUCUUCCUGUUACUUCUGAAACCAAAGAUAGGCAGGCAGCUUCACUCACACAAACUGCAAUGCCGCUGAUAGCAGAAUGCCUUCUGCAAAUCAAAGACAGGGAAAUGCAGCUGUGGUCCUGUGUGGUGGGACCUGAGCACUGAAGUCCUUACUUGACUCUCAGAGAGAUCACCCCCAAAGCAAUCUGGCGAGAGUUUAAGGGAUGGCAGGGAAAUUAAUGAUCUGUAUAUGUUCCCAUUUAUUUCACCUGUGGCAAUUCCCAUGAUGUUUGCCUGACAGUUCCUGUGGUAAGCUGUGUAUUGGGAGAAAUUUUGUAAUAUGUUGCCUCAACUUGGUAAAGAUCUUAGACCUGCCUGCUGUUCGAGAUGUCUGAUUCAUUUUGCUCCUGAUGAGAUUUAUACAUUGAGCUGGGUGAAGUUUUGAUGUUGCUUCUGAAUAAAGUAUUGAUUUAUAC